UUACGGCCAUAUCACUUUGAAACACCAGUUCCGGUACGAUCAUCGGUGUUAAGCAACAUCGAGCCUGAUCAGUAUCUAGAUGGGUGACCGCUUGAAAUACCAGGUGCUGUAAG
Molecule: non-coding RNA, 113 nt
Organism: Acanthosepion pharaonis
Lineage: Eukaryota; Metazoa; Mollusca; Cephalopoda; Sepiida; Sepiidae
Source: the annotation of a GenBank genome assembly